UACGUAGGGUGCAAGCGUUGUCCGGAAUUAUUGGGCGUAAAGAGCUCGUAGGCGGUCUGUCGCGUCGAAUGUGAAAAACCCGGGGCUCAACUCCGGGCUUGCAUUCGAUACGGGCAGGCUAGAGUUCGGUAGGGGAGUCUGGAAUUCCUGGGUGUAGCGGUGAAAUGCGCAGAUAUCAGGAGGAACACCGGUGGCGAAGGCGGGACUCUGGGCCGAUACUGACGCUGGAGGAGCGAAAGCGUGGGGAGCGAACAGGA
RNAcentral lists this ribosomal RNA (257 nucleotides) under uncultured bacterium. RNAcentral's name for it is "partial 16S ribosomal RNA". It matches the Rfam family "Bacterial small subunit ribosomal RNA", at positions 524 to 777 of the family's 1533-position model. The record is from RNAcentral.